GGGGGCGUAGCUCAGUUGGGAGAGCACCUGCCUUGCAAGCAGGGGGUCACGAGUUCGAAUCUCGUCGUCUCCA
RNAcentral lists this transfer RNA (73 nucleotides) under Defluviitalea raffinosedens. It matches the Rfam family "tRNA". From Rfam's summary of the family: Transfer RNA (tRNA) molecules are approximately 80 nucleotides in length. Their secondary structure includes four short double-helical elements and three loops (D, anti-codon, and T loops). Lineage: Bacteria; Bacillati; Bacillota; Clostridia; Lachnospirales; Defluviitaleaceae. RNAcentral also lists the same sequence under 3 other names. The record is from Rfam by way of RNAcentral.